AGAAAGCGUAGUUGAGACAGAAAACAAGGGUCGAGGAUCACGAGAAACAAACAAACUAGAACGGCUUGGUAACGCAGAGAAACGAGCUACUGAGCGUAUACUUCGCGUAUAAACUGGGUGAAUGACUUCCCUAAAUACUAGCGGUGAGUGUGUGUGAUUGGUGCCAGGUAAAGCGUAGUCGAGACAGAAAACAAGGGUCGAGGAUCACGAGAAACAAACAAACUAGAACGGCUUGGUAACGCAGAGAAACGAGCUACUGAGCGUAUACUUCGCGUAUAAACUGGGUGAAUGACUUCCCUAAAUACUAGCGGUGAGUGUGUGUGAUUGGUGCCAGGUGUGACUGAUCAGAACUCUGGGGAUGGUGAGCGCAUGCGUGCAUGAGAAGUGAGUGUUGCAUCUUGGGAAUUUGAGUUCUGAUUGGGCCGAGCUGUGACAGUCGGUGAAUAAGCGGUUGUAACUCUCCUUCAUAAGCCUAUGACUAACUGUCCCUGCAAAUGGAUCUCUGCUUAGGGUAUCAGCCGCAAUGUUCUUGACUCCUGCAAUAUGUUUUAUGUCAAAAGUAAGGGGAUAGUUUUGAAACUCACAUUUGCUCAC
Molecule: long non-coding RNA, 594 nt
Organism: Ictalurus punctatus (channel catfish)
Lineage: Eukaryota; Metazoa; Chordata; Actinopteri; Siluriformes; Ictaluridae
Source: Ensembl